CCAGACUCCUACGGGAGGCAGCAGUGAGGAAUAUUGGUCAAUGGCCGUAAGGCUGAACCAGCCAAGUAGCGUGAGGGAAGACUGCCCUAUGGGUUGUAAACCUCUUUUAUGCGGGGAUAAAGGUGUCCACGUGUGGAUGUUUGCAGGUACCGCAUGAAUAAGGAUCGGCUAACUCCGUGCCAGCAGCCGCGGUAAUACGGAGGAUCCGAGCGUUAAUCGGAAUUACUGGGCGUAAAGGGUGCGCAGGCGGUUGAGUAAGGCAGAUGUGAAAUCCCCGAGCUUAACUCGGGAAUGGCAUAUGUGACUGCUCGACUAGAGUGUGUCAGAGGGAGGUGGAAUUCCACGUGUAGCAGUGAAAUGCGUAGAUAUGUGGAAGAACACCGAUGGCGAAGGCAGCCUCCUGGGACAUAACUGACGCUCAGGCACGAAAGCGUGGGGAGCAAACAGGAUUAGAUACCCCAGUA
Molecule: ribosomal RNA, 464 nt
Filed under: uncultured bacterium
Lineage: Bacteria
Description: bacterial SSU rRNA
Rfam family: Bacterial small subunit ribosomal RNA
Source: RNAcentral